ACCAGACUCCUACGGGAGGCAGCAGUGAGGAAUAUUGGUCAAUGGGCGGAAGCCUGAACCAGCCAAGUCGCGUGAGGGAAGAAGGCCCUGCGGGUCGCAGACCUCUUUGGACGGGGAGCAAGGCCGCCGACGUGUCGGCGGAAGGAGAGUACCCGUAGAACAAGCAUCGGCUAACUCCGUGCCAGCAGCCGCGGUAAUACGUAGGUGGCAAGCGUUAUCCGGAUUUACUGGGUGUAAAGGGCGUGUAGGCGGGAAAGCAAGUCAGAUGUGAAAACCAUGGGCUCAACCUGUGGCCUGCAUUUGAAACUGUUUUUCUUGAGUACUGGAGAGGCAGACGGAAUUCCUAGUGUAGCGGUGAAAUGCGUAGAUAUUAGGAGGAACACCAGUGGCGAAGGCGGUGUGCUGGACAGCAACUGACGCUGAGGCGCGAAAGCGUGGGGAGCAAACAGGAUUAGAUACCCCAGUA
This 466-nucleotide ribosomal RNA is filed under the name uncultured bacterium. RNAcentral's name for it is "bacterial SSU rRNA". It matches the Rfam family "Bacterial small subunit ribosomal RNA", at positions 330 to 792 of the family's 1533-position model. The record is from RNAcentral.